GACGGAGGGUGCUAGCGUUGUUCGGAAUCACUGGGCGUAAAGGGCGCGUAGGCGGCCCUGGCAGUCGGAUGUGAAAGCCCGGGGCUCAACCCCGGAACGGCAUCCGAUACUCCAGGGCUGGAGGCCGGAAGAGGAGGGUGGAAUACCCAGUGUAGAGGUGAAAUUCGUAGAUAUUGGGUGGAACACCGGUGGCGAAAGCGGCUCUCUGGUCCGGACCUGACGCUGAGGCGCGAAAGCGUGGGGAGCAAACAGGAUUAGAAACCCCCGUAGUCC
Molecule: ribosomal RNA, 273 nt
Filed under: uncultured bacterium
Lineage: Bacteria
Description: partial 16S ribosomal RNA
Rfam family: Bacterial small subunit ribosomal RNA
Source: RNAcentral